This 72-nucleotide transfer RNA is filed under the name Urocitellus parryii (Arctic ground squirrel). Its description in RNAcentral is "Spermophilus parryii (Arctic ground squirrel) tRNA". It matches the Rfam family "tRNA". Rfam says of the family: Transfer RNA (tRNA) molecules are approximately 80 nucleotides in length. Their secondary structure includes four short double-helical elements and three loops (D, anti-codon, and T loops). The record is from Rfam by way of RNAcentral. RNAcentral also lists the same sequence under 1 other name. Lineage: Eukaryota; Metazoa; Chordata; Mammalia; Rodentia; Sciuridae.
UGGGUUGUAGCUCAGUGGUAGAGCACUUGUCUAGCAAGUGUGAGGCACUGGGUUCGAUUCUCAGCACCACAU